CUUCAGUGAUGAUACGAUGACGAGUCGGAACAGGGCUCUGGUUCUGGGGGGGUUCUGGUGCAGAUUCACGUUCUGUGGUUCUGCUCCAGUCCCUCAGAGCCGGGAGUCUUUCUUGGUUGAAGACAUCGAGGCAUUUGUCUGAGAAGG
Molecule: small nucleolar RNA, 147 nt
Organism: Cyclopterus lumpus (lumpfish)
Lineage: Eukaryota; Metazoa; Chordata; Actinopteri; Perciformes; Cyclopteridae
Source: Ensembl